AUUGAACGCUGGCGGCAUGCCUUACACAUGCAAGUCGAACGGCAGCACGGAGCUUGCUCUGGUGGCGAGUGGCGAACGGGUGAGUAAUAUAUCGGAACGUACCCUAGAGUGGGGGAUAACGUAGCGAAAGUUACGCUAAUACCGCAUACGAUCUAAGGAUGAAAGUGGGGGAUCGCAAGACCUCAUGCUCGUGGAGCGGCCGAUAUCUGAUUAGCUAGUUGGUAGGGUAAAAGCCUACCAAGGCAUCGAUCAGUAGCUGGUCUGAGAGGACGACCAGCCACACUGGAACUGAGACACGGUCCAGACUCCUACGGGAGGCAGCAGUGGGGAAUUUUGGGCAAUGGGCGAAAGCCUGAUCCAGCAAUGCCGCGUGAGUGAAGAAGGCCUUCGGGUUGUAAAGCUCUUUUGUCAGGGAAGAAACGGUGAGAGCUAAUAUCUUUUGCUAAUGACGGUACCUGAAGAAUAAGCACCGGCUAACUACGUGCCAGCAGCCGCGGUAAUACGUAGGGUGCAAGCGUUAAUCGGAAUUACUGGGCGUAAAGCGUGCGCAGGCGGUUUUGUAAGUCUGAUGUGAAAUCCCCGGGCUCAACCUGGGAAUUGCAUUGGAGACUGCAAGGCUAGAAUCUGGCAGAGGGGGGUAGAAUUCCACGUGUAGCAGUGAAAUGCGUAGAUAUGUGGAGGAACACCGAUGGCGAAGGCAGCCCCCUGGGUCAAGAUUGACGCUCAUGCACGAAAGCGUGGGGAGCAAACAGGAUUAGAUACCCUGGUAGUCCACGCCCUAAACGAUGUCUACUAGUUGUCGGGUCUUAAUUGACUUGGUAACGCAGCUAACGCGUGAAGUAGACCGCCUGGGGAGUACGGUCGCAAGAUUAAAACUCAAAGGAAUUGACGGGGACCCGCACAAGCGGUGGAUGAUGUGGAUUAAUUCGAUGCAACGCGAAAAACCUUACCUACCCUUGACAUGGCUGGAAUCCCGGAGAGAUUUGGGAGUGCUCGAAAGAGAACCAGUACACAGGUGCUGCAUGGCUGUCGUCAGCUCGUGUCGUGAGAUGUUGGGUUAAGUCCCGCAACGAGCGCAACCCUUGUCAUUAGUUGCUACGAAAGGGCACUCUAAUGAGACUGCCGGUGACAAACCGGAGGAAGGUGGGGAUGACGUCAAGUCCUCAUGGCCCUUAUGGGUAGGGCUUCACACGUCAUACAAUGGUACAUACAGAGCGCCGCCAACCCGCGAGGGGGAGCUAAUCGCAGAAAGUGUAUCGUAGUCCGGAUUGUAGUCUGCAACUCGACUGCAUGAAGUUGGAAUCGCUAGUAAUCGCGGAUCAGCAUGUCGCGGUGAAUACGUUCCCGGGUCU
This 1352-nucleotide ribosomal RNA is filed under the name uncultured bacterium. Its description in RNAcentral is "bacterial SSU rRNA". It matches the Rfam family "Bacterial small subunit ribosomal RNA", at positions 28 to 1381 of the family's 1533-position model. The record is from RNAcentral.